Molecule: transfer RNA, 77 nt
Filed under: Geothermobacter hydrogeniphilus
Lineage: Bacteria; Pseudomonadati; Thermodesulfobacteriota; Desulfuromonadia; Desulfuromonadales; Geothermobacteraceae
Description: Geothermobacter sp. EPR-M tRNA-Trp
Rfam family: tRNA
About the family: Transfer RNA (tRNA) molecules are approximately 80 nucleotides in length. Their secondary structure includes four short double-helical elements and three loops (D, anti-codon, and T loops).
Source: RNAcentral
AGGCCAGUAGCACAAUUGGCUAGUGCACCGGUCUCCAAAACCGGGGGUUGCGGGUUCGAGUCCCUCCUGGCCUGCCA